Molecule: ribosomal RNA, 541 nt
Filed under: uncultured archaeon
Lineage: Archaea
Description: bacterial SSU rRNA
Rfam family: Archaeal small subunit ribosomal RNA
Source: RNAcentral
AGCCGCCGCGGGAACACCGGCGGCCCGAGUGGUGAUCGUGAUUAUUGGGUCUAAAGGGUCCGUAGCCGGUUUGGUCAGUCCUCCGGGAAAUCUGAUAGCUCAACUAUUAGGCUUUCGGGGGAUACUGCCAGACUUGGAACCGGGAGAGGUAAGAGGUACUACAGGGGUAGGAGUGAAAUCUUGUAAUCCCUGUGGGACCACCUGUGGCGAAGGCGUCUUACCAGAACGGGUUCGACGGUGAGGGACGAAAGCUGGGGGCACGAACCGGAUUAGAUACCCGGGUAGUCCCAGCCGUAAACGAUGCUCGCUAGGUGUCAGGCAUGGCGCGACCGUGUCUGGUGCCGCAGGGAAGCCGUGAAGCGAGCCACCUGGGAAGUACGGCCGCAAGGCUGAAACUUAAAGGAAUUGGCGGGGGAGCACAACAACGGGUGGAAGCCUGCGGUUUAAUUGGACUCAACGCCGGACAACUCACCGGGGGCGACAGCAAUAUGUAGGCCAAGCUGAAGACUUUGCCUGAAUCGCUGAGAGGAGAGGUGCAUGG